Molecule: ribosomal RNA, 821 nt
Filed under: uncultured Glomeraceae
Lineage: Eukaryota; Fungi; Glomeromycota; Glomeromycetes; Glomerales; Glomeraceae
Description: eukaryotic LSU rRNA
Rfam family: Eukaryotic large subunit ribosomal RNA
Source: RNAcentral
UGACCUCAAAUCAGGUAAGAAUACCCGCUGAACUUAAGCAUAUCAAUAAGCGGAGGAAAAGAAAAUAACAAUGAUUCCCUUAGUAACGGCGAGUGAAGGGGGAAAAGCUCAAAUUUUAAAUCUGCUAGGUUUUACUUAUCAGAAUUGUAAUUUGAAGAAGCGUUUUCUGCGUCUCGGUUGGCCCAAAUCCUUUGGGAUAAGGUAUCACGGAGGGUGAGAAUCCCGUUCGGUUGACCUUAUGACGCUCUACGAUACGCUUUCUAAGAGUCGAGUUGUUUGGGAUUGCAGCUCAAAAUGGGAGGUAAAUUUCUCCUAAGGCUAAAUAUCGGCGAGAGACCGAUAGCGAACAAGUACCGUGAGGGAAAGAUGAAAAGAACUUUGAAAAGAGAGUGAAAUGGUACGUGAAAUUGUUGAAAGGGAAACGAUUGAAGUCAGUCGUACCGACGAGAAAUCAGCUUAUCGUGUGUGAACUUGUGGGCGUGCGUGAGUUUCGGCCUCGCUGUUUGCAUGUUUGUGCGCUUUGGGUGUACUUUUUCGUAUGGUUGGCCAACGUCAGUUUCGAUUACUAUAAAAUGACCGGCGGAAUGUAGCUUCGAUUUCGGUUGAAGUGUUAUAGCCUCUGGUAGAUGUGGUGAUUGGGACUGAGGAUUGCAACGAAUAUCCUUUGGGCUAUCCGUCUGGCCUCUGAAAGUUGCUCAGGUGCCGAAAGCUUGCUUACGGUCAUCUAAGUUGACGGUCAACAGGUUAGAACGCGAUUACAUUCGUUAAGGACGUUGGCGUAAUGGCUUUAAACGACCCGUCUUGAAACACGGACCAAGGAG